ACAGCAUGGUGGGGGCACUUCCUAAUCAAUUCCUUCAGCCUCUCCCAAGUCUCAUAAAAUAUUUUUCCAUCUAUCUAUAAAAAAUUAGUUAUUGCUUUUUGGAUUU
Elaeis guineensis (African oil palm) is the source of this 106-nucleotide small nucleolar RNA. NCBI's taxonomy places the organism in Eukaryota, Viridiplantae, Streptophyta, Magnoliopsida, Arecales, Arecaceae. The record is from RefSeq and is a predicted model, not a curated record.